This 9409-nucleotide long non-coding RNA is filed under the name Cucumis sativus (cucumber). RNAcentral's name for it is "long non-coding RNA (CSAT_LNC000121)". The record is from RNAcentral. Lineage: Eukaryota; Viridiplantae; Streptophyta; Magnoliopsida; Cucurbitales; Cucurbitaceae.
UAAAACAUAUGGCUCGGUUCUAUAAAGGGUUAGACGAGGAGAAGAUGGGGCUUGAAAAAUUGGGGAAAUUGCUGGACCAAAAUCGAUACGGAUUGAAGCGCAAUGCUGGGUCGGAUAGUCUACUGACAGCUUCUUCACAUUUAGAAUGAUACAAAGCUUUGAUUUGGAUUCCAAGAUAUCAAGAUUUAUCAUCACAUUUGGUUCAAAUCCCUUAUGGCGUCGCCCCGCGUUUGCUCCAAUUUCUUACGCCAUCCCAUUUGCUCCAAUUUCUUCUUACAUUACGUAUCACUCAUUUAUUAGUGUAAUUUGUAAGAAUCUUUUUUUUUUUUUAGUGUAAUUCAUUCUGUUUAAUGGAAUAGAUUAAAAAACAAGCAGCCUCUGCACAAUUAGCAGAUUUUGUUUAUAGUUGAGAUUUGAUUUGAUAACGACCCAUUAAUAUCUAAUUAACAAAAAUUCUGUUGGCUUAUCAUAUGCUUUAAUUUUGGGGUUACUAACUUCCUAGACUACAAUGCUUUGACUUUAUUACAUUAUUUAAGUAUUGAAUCACUAAACAUUAGGGAUCAUUGUAGUUGUUAAUGACAGUUUUGAUGGAAGGAUGUGUGACCUUUUUGUUAUUUAAGUGAAGUCAAAAGAAGAGAAUAUAUGUCAAUGCCAUAAUCCCAAGUAAUUAAUGAUAAUUACUUAAUGCUCUAUUAAUUUCCCUUCAAUCACAAAUAUGAUACAUAAACAUCACAAAACAACAAACCAUAUAUGUAAUUCAACUGCAAACCUGAAACAGAGUAUAGCAUAUAUAAUCUGAUUUACCACUUAGUCAAUCAUAUAAUGUUAGUUUUUCAUGUAUAUAUUAUAUAAGGAGCAUAAAGUUGAUGAGAACUCAAACUCUCUUAGGUUGGGUCUACGUUAAAGUUGUUGGUGCUUCUCAUUCUUGUCUUCUUAAUUUAAUGUUGAGACGAGAUUCUUUAUAAGAUCUAAUUUUUUCAGCUGCUCGGCGUAAUGGCCUUCCAAUUGAAGUUCUUUGCAAAGCUGAAACUUCUUCAGAUCUGGGGGAGGAUGGUGAGUUCUUUUCUUUUUCACCAGCGAUAAGUUUUAUGUCUUCAAUUUCAAACAACUUCUCUUCAAGGUCCCUCACUUGAUGUCUAAAUCUACUAGAGUGCCUUCUUACACAAUGCCUGAAAAUACAUAAAUAUGUAAACCAAAUAGUUGAAACCCUUCCUAGUUUGCUGCUUGAUAAUCAUUUGGUUUUUCAAAAUUCAACUUGUUUUCUCAUCCUUUUCUUUGCGUAUGGUCUUCAUUUUUCUUACAAGAACAUUUGAAUAGUCGAAUUCUUGAAACCAAAACAAGUUCUUAAAGACCAUCCUUUUAGAAAAAAUAAUGGUAUUUAUUUUGUGCAGAGGCAGGAGAGUGCACCCUUAAAUCAAAGUAUUGUGCGUUUGAGCUAAGUUAAAAGCUUGUCGUGUAUUUUAAAAAACAUUUAUAGAACCAAAAGUUAAGGUCCUGUUUAGUGACCAUUUGAGUUUUGAAAAGUAAGCAUAUUUCCUAAUGUUUUGAUCCUUUUUAGUAAAAGAGUUGAGUUCUUAGCCAAAUUCAAAAAACAAACAAGUCUUUAAUACUACUUUUUUUAGUUUUUUAAUUUUUUGAGAAGAUUGAGACAAAUUAUACUAAGCAAGAAGUUAGAGGUGGAAGAUGUAUUUGUAAAACUAAAAACUAAAAACCAAAUGGUUAUCAAACAUGUAAAAAUUGGAAACAAUCAUGCACAAAUAUGGUUAUGUAUAUAAAACGUGUGCAGGACUGACUAACCUCUUGUUCACAACUUUCUGUUUAUCAACCACUGUUGAGUAUGAAGUUGAAGGGCUCAUAGCUGCAUUGGUCAAAGUGCCAUUAGUUUUCAACCAAAACAAUAAGUAAGAUAAGUAGAAGAAUAAACAGAGAAAGGGAAUGAUAGUAUACAUAGUGUCAAUAUCUCAUCAGUUUCAAUAAAUGUGUAAAAUCAGAGUAAUAUGACGGUUCUGAGGGCAAGCCAAAAAGGAGUUAAGAAGUGUUUUAGUGUGUUGUAUGAGAAAGGAUUCAUGGAGAAGCAUUUUAUCAAAAGCAAUUUCAGAAAAGUAAACUUAAGAUCAAAUAAUUUCUUGUGGAAAGUUUUUUACUGAGACCCCAUUGGGUAAUAUUGCAAUCAAAGUACUAUAAUUCCAAAUUCAAACACUAAUCCCCUAAACCUUAAAUUGUUGGAAUCAAAGUUGCUAAUUCUUGGUCCCAAAAUAACAAACCCUUUACACAGUUUCUAUAUAUCGUUUCAUGAAAACUUACAUUUACUUCUAGUUCUUCCAGGAGGCUUUAUAUUUCCAUUGCCAGAUUUGGUGUCAGUAUUAACAAUUGCAAGUGAAGGUUGCCCUGUUGCCUUCUCUCCUUCCUGGAGGCAGGAAAAUAGGUGAAGUUAUCUAAAAUAUUUGUGAGCAAUGUGUGAGGACUAAGCACAAUAAUAAAUCAGAUACCUUGAAAAGAAAAAAAGAAAUCACCAAAUUACCUGCCAUUCAGAAUUUCUAUUAUUCAUCUCUGCUUUACCCUGUCAGAAUAUAAAGUCAUUGUUCAUCAAUGAGAAUUGGUUCAGUAUUUUUCAUAAAACUAGCUUAUCUAAAUUGUUUAAACUUUGAUCUCCCCUCAAAGCCUAGUUGGUUCUUGUUUGUAAAGAAGUGUUGUUAUUGUACACGUAGCUGCUAUAAUGUCUCAUUUGUGCUGAAUGUGCUGAUCCCUUUAAUAAUUAGAAUCUUUUCUACCAAUCUAUAAGAAUGCAUUGUAAGAACUUAUUUAUUUCUAUUCUUGGUUUGUAAGCUCUUUUUAGUUCAUUAUUUUCCUCAUGAUUAAAUAACAAAUUUAGUCAGCAAAUUUGGAUAAUAAUUUUAUUCUGGGUAAAUUUGGACUCUAGAAGAAUCAGAUUCAACUGAAACAAAAGAUAAAAUAUUGAGCUGAGGCUCAUGAGGAGUACCCUUGACUCGCGAUGAGGCUAAGGGAAACCCCUUUUGGUUCAAGAGUGGACGCACCCAUAGCCAAAGAGGAGAGGGAAAUAAGUUUUUUCUCAUCUCGAAAAACUUUAACUAUAGACCUCAUGCACUGAACGUGUUGUGCCAAGAUAUGCAACUAGUGCCUAAACUCUCCUUGUUUUACGACUUCGCUAAAUUAAAAAUUCACUAUUGCUAUCAUGUGAAGGUCAUGUUCAACCCCAUUAGGAGUUUGGCAUUAUAUAGUUCUAAACAUUGGAAUGUGAUUCUACCAAAUCUUUAUCAUUAGAUCACAGAAAGAUUAGGAACUAAGUAAAAUAAAUGUCCCUGCUAGUAAGAGUCUUAAGAUAAUACCUCUACAGUCAAACGCUUUGCCCUUAGCAAAGCCUCCUUGCAUUCAAUCUCAUGCUCCAGUGAUUUUAUCUACAACACAUCAGUAACAAAUUAUUGACCAUCACAUAGAAAUAAAUGCAUUAUGCACCAAGAAAUCAAUUCAAGACAUUUUGAAACUUACUCUCUUUCUCCCUAAAUUGAUUUCCUGCAAAAGAAAAGCAGUGUGGUUAUAAUUAAAUAAUUAUUAACAACACUCGUAAGAGGAAUAACAAGAAUUGUAUAUAAUCUUACUGCUAAAAAUCGACUGUUUGAUUGAGCAAGAUGCCAAUUCUGAAGCUGCAGUUUCUGAAUGCUUGCCCUAAGUUUCUCCAACUCAGCUUCACUCAGCUCAAUUAUUUUACUGUUGAAACGUUUAGGAAUUCUUUUUCAAGUUUCUGUUUCGAUGGAAACUUCAAGACCUAAUAUUUAGGCUAAAGUAAGUUUCUAGGUCAAUCAAAGAACUGCCCAACCAUGAAUAGCAGCAGUAAAGCUAUUCUCAUUCUUGAUUCUAAAAUAGCAAAAGUAAAAUCAAUUUCAGAGAUUUCAUGAUGUAGAGUUUUUACUUUGGUGAAGUAUUGGUUGAUAGUUAUAGUUAUCUUCCUCUCAGCAAUUGACAGGAGCUCAUUCUGCAAUCUUGCAUCGUUUUUAUUUGAGAAAAGUGAGGUGUUUCUCAUGUCCAAUGCUUUCUUUGGCAUCUAAAAGAUAUUAAUGUACUCCAAUAUUUAAUCAUCAACUGUAGUUUGUUUUAAUUGGAAACAUUGCCUUCGCUAUUUCAUUUUAUCAUAAGGUGGAUUCACUUCAUUGCCUACUACAACAUCUACAAAUCUUGGGAUUACAAAUAUUUUCCAAUGCAUGUAGACCAAGUUUCAUAAUUCUAAAUGUCCAGCUUUUUUAUUCCUCCAACAACUUGAAAGUCUCCCAUCAUCAUGUAGUGACGAAUUCACUCAACGAGUAGCUUUUUACUCAAACUCUCAUGCUUUCUUUCUUCCUCUCUCUGCUUUUUGCUUUGCUUGCUUACUUAGAUUUACCAAUGAAGGCACAACCACUAUUUAUAAUGUGAGAUCCUUAAAGCCUAACCAGGUGGAUCUUUCUGGAUUGAUCUUGGCUCAUAAAUAUUUAGAUAUUUUUGGUUUUCUUGUCUAAAGGAAUUCUAUUGGAACCUAAAGAAAAUCUAGAAUUUUUCUAAAUUCUCCUUUUCAGAUAUUUAUUUACAUACUUCCAAAAAAAUAAUUCUAGAGAUGUCUAAUUUACACACUAAUAUAUCAAAUUGGGGAUACUUCAAGAAUCUUCUAAACUAGUUAUAUUAGUUUAACUUUCUUUUUGCAAGCAACUCUUUAAUAGGGUGUGACUUGUUAAAAUAUAUUGCAACACUAACUAGUCUACAAGAAUCCUGAAAUAUCCACAAUGAUAUCGUUAGGGUGUAAAUUAAUUUUCUCUAGAAUUAUGUUGAAAGAUGUUAACAAAUAUCUAAAAAAAAAUUUAGAAAUAUCAUAGGUUUUCUUCAAGUUAAGAAAUUAUAGAAUUUCUUUAGAAAAUAUAAAACCAAGAAAUAUCUAGAAUAGUUAAAAAGUCUAUAAAUAGGGUUGUGUCUUCAUUUGUGAACCAAACAAGCAAAGAUUGUUAGAGAAAAAGUUUGAGUAAAAAGUGAGUGAGUGUGUAAGAGAAUAAAAGUUAGAGAAAGAAAACAAGAGAGAGUUAGAGAAAUAGUUUGAGAGAAAAGAAAGCGAGUGUCAUGAGGGAGUAAAAGGAUAUUCUCUCCAAAGUGUCCAUUUUUGCCAUUUCUCAAUAAAAGUUUUAUUUUUCAAAUAAAUUGUCAAAUUUCUUCAUCAAGACUAACUGUAUUUAAAUUCUUAGGAUUGGACAAGUAAAAUGAAAAAUUCAUUUAUUAACCUAUGAAAUUAAGAGCCAGUGAAACAAGUAAUGUAAAGAAAAUUUAUUGAAGACAACAAAAUAUGAAACAGAGAAGCAAAAUCUAGAAGGAUACUUCCUCUCCAUGAUAAGUUUCAUAAGACCCAUAUUUUCCUGUUCCACAAAUUAAAAUCAAACCCAACAAAAGUCUCAGAAACAACAACUUGAAAUUAAAGAAACAAGAAAACAACAUUUAAUUUAAAAAUCUGAAAGAAGAUGCAACAAAGAAACCAGAUACUUACCUUCACUAGCUGAUCUAUGACGCUUUUCUUCGGCUGCGAAGCUUCGGAAGAGUUUUCAUCUUCAAGGUGAGAUCUCAUUGUUUUUGAAUUCGUAAUAUCUGCAAGUUUGUUUCUCAUUUUGCUUCCAAUCGAAGAUGUUUUUGCCAUUGCAAAUAAAAAAAAAUUGGCAACAAAAUGGGGGGGGGUUUUAUAGAGUUUAUGAUGAGAAAAAUUUUUGGUUUUAAAGAGAUAUGAAAAGCCAUGAAUACAGAGAAUUAAAGUUAGAAGGGAAUAAAGGAAAAAGAAGAUGUGAUAAAGAGUUCAAACUAAAGACGAAGCUGAAGAAGAAGGGAGGUCCGGGAAAACAACGGCUUUCCGAACCAAAAAGUUAAACGACACCUAAUUUUGAACUUCUCCCACCCAAUAUUUAAAUAUUUGAACGUUCCAUUCAGAACCUUUCCUGAAUUUGAGGAGUUUUUAUUUUUUUACUCAUAUGCUCUCAUUUUAGUUCUUUUCAAAUAUUGAAAAAAUAGCUAAAAUAUUUACAAAUACGCAAAGAACGUGCGAUGUCUAGUCACACACACUUUGACGUUCAAGUCAGUUUAGUAUUUUAGAGUAACUUGACAGUAGAGAAAAUAGUGAAUAUUCAGGCAUAUUUGGACAUAUUCAAACGUACCUUCAACCAAUAGUCUUGGUCGUUUAUAUAAUUAACAUAGUGAUGUGUAACCAAUGCUUAGGUCAUAAUUACGCGUGCCUCUUGAACUUCCACAAUGUUUGAGUUGAUAAUCAAUGGGCAGUUUUACUACCAUUAUGACAAACCCAUAUGCUCCUAACGAUUCUCUUUACGACACUUGUUCGUUCGAAAUCCAAACGGUUUCACAUUCAAUGGCUCAAAGGUCUUCCUCUGUGGAACCUUUAAGCUCUUCUUGGUAGUGCUCUAGGAGUACUUUUCCUUGUAGGUUCUCAUCUUAGGAAGUUAGGUUAUCCCUAAUAGAUUUCCCUUCUAUUGAGCUUCUCUUGGGAGGCUAGGUUCUCUCUAGUAAGUCCUCCUUCUGUAAGCUCCUCUUAGGAGACUAGGCUCUUCCUAGUGGAUCCUCCUAUGAGCUUUUCUUAGCAAAAGCUAUGCAGAUCCUUCUCCUCUGAGUUCCUCUUAGAAGGCUAGACUCUCCCUUGUGGAUUCUCCUUAUGUGGUUUUUAAGAAGCUAGUUUCUCCCUACUGGUUUUCCUUGUAUGAGUUCAAAUAAGGCUCUCUUAGACUUACCUCAUAAGUCCAUUGAGCUAUCACUAGCCUUGCUUAUAUUCAUCUCAUGGAUCCACCAAGAUUUUAUUGAGCUCACUUAAACUCACCUCAUGGGUCGACUGACCCUCAUAGGCCCAUCGAGCUACCGUUGAGCUCGUCUAGCUAGGUUCACCUCAUGAGUCCAUCGAGCCCCUAUUAGGCUCGAUUAGGUUCUCCUAUAGGUUUGUUUGAGUAAGUUAAAAUUCACCCACAACAAAUAUAAUAAAAUAUUUGUCUACCGUAAUUUAUAUAAAUAAAUUGUAAUAUUUGUAAAUAUUUUCUAAAGCUGAGUGGUUUAAAAUAAUUUAUUGAAAUUAAGUAUAUAAAAUUAUUUCUAAGACUUAUGUUCACCUAGUUGUUAAAGUUAGCUCUUCAUUCUUUUGUAAAAGAAAGAAAAAACAAAAGUUAUUCACAUGCUUUUUCAUUAUCCUAUCAUCUUUGGAAUCAAUUUUCAACAUUGCUCUUUAUAAUUAAGAUAUAUUUUAUACAUAUAGUAAUAUAUCUUUUUCACAUUACCAAACUCAUCUUCCAAUUUUUCAUAUAUUUGAAUAAUGUGACCACUUUUUAAAAUUAAAGUUAUUUUCCUUCAUACUUAACAAUUAUAAAUUAUACAAAAAAAAAUAAUUAACAAUUGUUUUUUAUAUAGUUAUUAUAUCUAAAACACAAUUGAAAUCAAAUAUCUAUUUGUUAAGACUAGUUUAUACUUCCUCCCAAUUAUAUGUUGUUGCAAUCAAAAACUCUUAUUUAUUGGACUUGUAUACACAAAUAAUAAAAGAUCUUGAAUGCGGCAUACAUAGUAACAUUUGUGUAUUCAAAAUUUUUAUGGUCAUCUUUAUUAUCCAAGAGAUGUACGUUUUUCAUUUUGGUCUAUGCCGCACAAAACCAACUUAAACACAAUUGAUAAAUACUAAACAACAUCUUGUACAUCUUAACAAGUAUUCCACGCCUCACUUUAUGGAUUAGUGGAAGGUUGUAGUGUACUAAAUCUAUUAUCUUUUGUAAUUGGGAAGCAUCUUUUAUGGGGCUAAAUUGGAAUGCUUUUCUUUGACCUCUCCAUCUUAUUGUAUUAUUUUUCUCCUCUUGUUUUCUAACUCUCCUUAUUUGAACUUCUAUGUACUUAUAUUUUUUGAAAUGCAUCGACAUUGGAACAGCAUGAUGAAGGUAGUAUGAGUUUGUAUCAAUCUAGUUGAAAUAUCAUAGAGAUAGCAUAGAUUACUUACUAGUUUUACUUUCAUUCCUAUCCUAUUAAAUAAAAUGGUUUUUUUUUAAGAUACUCUAAAACAUGAGAGUUUUAAUUUUCAUAUAUUGAAGGCAAAACAAAAUUAAAAUUAAAUUGCCGCCCUCCCCUUAUUAAAAAAAAAGAAAAAGAAUGUGUACUUCAACUUCUCGUUGGCAUUGGCCGUUGAAUGUACAAAGGACGGCUUUGAUCUUAUCCGUACAUAUUUGUUUUUUGUUUUCUUUGUUUUCUUUGUUUUCUGUUUUUUGAUUCUUGUUUCUUUUAGUUUUAUGGUUUCCGUACUUAUCCAAUCCUUGUGGUGAUGAUUUUAAGUCUUUCAAGUACUUUAAUCAAUCAAUUCUACAUUAUAUUUAUUAUGACUUAAUUAAGGCACCCCUCUCUAAUUCUUAAUACUUAUAUUUAAUGCAAUAAUAUAUGUCCAUAAUAUAUAUAUAUAUUUAGUAUUUUAAUUACUUCAUAAUGUGUUUCUAUAUAUUCUUUAAAAUACCUAAUUAUUUCAGUUCAAAUAAAAUUAAACUUUAACAUAUGAAUUUCUUGUGUUAUAUAAAUUCAAUAUGUCUUGUGGUAAGGAGAAGAUGUGUCUACGUAAAAUAAAUAACCAUGACUAUGAUAGCUUUUUAUGCAAAUUUAAGAAUGAAAUAAAAUCGAAAAGACUGCAUUAAUAAAAUGAAUACAAAAGAAAAUAGAAACGAAAUAUGACGAUGGUUAAUUAAAAUAAAUUAUUAGUUUGGUAAUUAUGGGUUGUGUUUAGUUGUGAGAACUCGUUUUCUAUUUCUUAAAAUAACUAAAUAACUAGAUCAGAAUAAUGUCGGAUAAAUAAAAUAAAAUAAAAUAAAAUAAAGCAGAAAAACCAUAAUCUUAUUCUACAUAAUUUUUAUAAUGAUUGCAUCAUCUAUUCAAUAUGAUUAAGUCAAUCACAAUUUGUGAAAUUGAUAAAGUUGAAAAAAAAAUAAACUCGAGCAUAAUAAUUCAAUUAACUACAACCAAAGCCCAAAUAAAACAAAAUUCAAACAACAUCAAUGAAAAAACUAUUAGCUUUAGAAAAUUUUAUAAUAGUUAUUGGGAGAAAAAGUUUAAUUAACCAAGUUAAAAAAAAAAAAAUUAAAGCUCCAUUUAGUGAUUUAAUUGAUUUUCUUUUUAUCUUUUUGAAAUUUUAGUCUAUAAAUACCAUUUCCAAAUAGCGAAGAAUACAUGGUGGAUGAAUCAUUGUAAAGUUGAUAGAAAAAUAAACUUAAUUUUCUAAAAUAAAAUAACUAACAUAUAGGAUAUAGGAGACUAAAUUAUUGAUAUGCUUUUUUAUAUAUAGGUGAUUUAAUCACAAAGCCAUGUGAAAAAGAGAUAAUCUACGUUGGUAAUUUGGUACACAAAUUAAUAUUCAAUUUGGUGAUGGAGAAGAAAG